UACGAGGGGUCCUAGCGUUGUUCGGAAUCAUUGGGCGUAAAGAGUAUGUAGGCGGCUAGAUAAGUCAGGUGUGAAAGCCCCGGGCUCAACCCGGGAAGUGCAUUUGAUACUGUCUAGCUUGAGUAUGGAAGAGGGUAGUAGAAUUCCUGGUGUAGUGGUGAAAUACGUAGAUAUCAGGAGGAAUACCGGUGGCGAAGGCGGCUACCUGGUCCUAUACUGACGCUGAGAUACGAAAGCGUGGGGAGCAAACAGG
This 253-nucleotide ribosomal RNA is filed under the name uncultured bacterium. Its description in RNAcentral is "partial 16S ribosomal RNA". It matches the Rfam family "Bacterial small subunit ribosomal RNA", at positions 524 to 776 of the family's 1533-position model. The record is from RNAcentral.